CCUACGGGUGGCAGCAGUGAGGAAUAUUGGUCAAUGGACGAGAGUCUGAACCAGCCAAGUAGCGUGAAGGAUGACUGCCCUAUGGGUUGUAAACUUCUUUUAUAAAGGAAUAAAACGAGGCACGUGUGCAUUUUUGCAUGUACUUUAUGAAUAAGGAUCGGCUAACUCCGGGCCAGCAGCCGCGGUACUACGGCGGAUCCGAGCGUUAUCCGGAUUUAUUGGGUUUAAGGGGAGCGUAGAUGGGUUGUUAAGUCAGUUGUGAACGUUUGGGGCUCAACCGUAAAAUUGCAAUUGAUACUGGCAGUCUUGAGUACAGUUGAGGUAAGCGGAAUUCGUGGUGUAGCGGUGAAAUGCUUAGAUAUCACGAAGAACCCCGAUUGCGAAGGCAGCUUACUAAACUGUGACUGACAUUGAUGCUCGAAAGUGUGGGUAUCAAACAGGAUUAGAUACCCGAGUAGUC
This 460-nucleotide ribosomal RNA is filed under the name uncultured bacterium. RNAcentral's name for it is "partial 16S ribosomal RNA". It matches the Rfam family "Bacterial small subunit ribosomal RNA", at positions 338 to 795 of the family's 1533-position model. The record is from RNAcentral.